This 253-nucleotide ribosomal RNA is filed under the name uncultured bacterium. RNAcentral describes it as "partial 16S ribosomal RNA". It matches the Rfam family "Bacterial small subunit ribosomal RNA", at positions 524 to 776 of the family's 1533-position model. The record is from RNAcentral.
UACAGAGGGUGCGAGCGUUGUUCGGAAUUAUUGGGCGUAAAGCGCAUGUAGGCGGGGGGAUAAGUCGCGUGUGAAAGCCUCGGGCUCAACUCGAGAAGUGCGCGCGAAACUGUCCCUCUUGAGUGCCGGAGAGGGUGGCGGAAUUCCCGGUGUAGAGGUGAAAUUCGUAGAUAUCGGGAGGAACACCAGAGGCGAAGGCGGCCACCUGGACGGACACUGACGCUGAGACGCGAAAGCGUGGGGAGCAAACAGG